GUAGGUGAAGUGGUUUACCCAUGGAGCUGAAAUCAGUCGAAGAUACCAGCUGGCUGCAACUGUUUAUUAAAAACACAGCACUGUGCAAACACGAAAGUGGACGUAUACGGUGUGACGCCUGCCCGGUGCCGGAAGGUUAAUUGAUGGGGUUAUCCGUAAGGAGAAGCUCUUGAUCGAAGCCCCGGUAAACGGCGGCCGUAACUAUAACGGUCCUAAGGUAGCGAAAUUCCUUGUCGGGUAAGUUCCGACCUGCACGAAUGGCGUAAUGAUGGCCAGGCUGUCUCCACCCGAGACUCAGUGAAAUUGAACUCGCUGUGAAGAUGCAGUGUACCCGCGGCAAGACGGAAAGACCCCGUGAACCUUUACUAUAGCUUGACACUGAACACUGGUCCUUGAUGUGUAGGAUAGGUGGGAGGCUUUGAAGUGUGGACGCCAGUCUGCAUGGAGCCAUCCUUGAAAUACCACCCUUUAAUGGCUGGUGUUCUAACGUGGGCCCCUAAUCGGGGUUGCGGACAGUGUCUGGUGGGUAGUUUGACUGGGGCGGUCUCCUCCUAAAGAGUAACGGAGGAGCACGAAGGUCAGCUAAUCCUGGUCGGACAUCAGGAGGUUAGUGCAAUGGCAUAAGCUGGCUUGACUGCGAGCGUGACGGCGCGAGCAGGUGCGAAAGCAGGUCAUAGUGAUCCGGUGGUUCUGAAUGGAAGGGCCAUCGCUCAACGGAUAAAAGGUACUCCGGGGAUAACAGGCUGAUACCGCCCAAGAGUUCAUAUCGACGGCGGUGUUUGGCACCUCGAUGUCGGCUCAUCACAUCCUGGGGCUGAAGUAGGUCCCAAGGGUAUGGCUGUUCGCCAUUUAAAGUGGUACGCGAGCUGGGUUUAGAACGUCGUGAGACAGUUCGGUCCCUAUCUGCCGUGGGCGCUGGAGAAUUGAGGGGGGCUGCUCCUAGUACGAGAGGACCGGAGUGGACGCAUCACUGGUGUUCGGGUUGUCAUGCCAAUGGCAUUGCCCGGUAGCUAAAUGCGGAAGAGAUAAGUGCUGAAAGCAUCUAAGCACGAAACUUGCCCCGAGAUGAGUUCUCCCUGAC
RNAcentral lists this ribosomal RNA (1081 nucleotides) under Klebsiella grimontii. Its description in RNAcentral is "partial 23S ribosomal RNA". It matches the Rfam family "Bacterial large subunit ribosomal RNA", at positions 1742 to 2819 of the family's 2925-position model. The record is from RNAcentral. Lineage: Bacteria; Pseudomonadati; Pseudomonadota; Gammaproteobacteria; Enterobacterales; Enterobacteriaceae.